CCUACGGGAGGUAGCAGUCGAGAAUCAUUCACAAUGGGGGAAACCCUGAUGGUGCGACGCCGCGUGGGGGAAUGAAGGUCUUCGGAUUGUAAACCCCUGUCAUGUGGGAGCAAAUUAAAAAGAUCGUACCACAAUAGGAAGAGACGGCUAACUCUGUGCCAGCAGCCGCGGUAAUACAGAGGGCUCAAGCGUUGUUCGGAAUCACUGGGCGUAAAGCGUGCGUAGGCUGUUUCGUACGUCGGGUGUGAAAGGCGCGGGCUCAACCCGCGGACGGCACAUGAUACUGGGAGACGAGAGUAAGGGAGGGGGAACCGGAAUUCUCGGUGUAGCAGUGAAAUGCGUAGAUAUCGAGAGGAACACUCGUGGCGAAGGCGGGUUCCUGGACAUUAACUGACGCUGAGGCACGAAGGCCAGGGGAGCGAAAGGGAUUAGAUACCCUGGUAGUC
Molecule: ribosomal RNA, 446 nt
Filed under: uncultured bacterium
Lineage: Bacteria
Description: partial 16S ribosomal RNA
Rfam family: Bacterial small subunit ribosomal RNA
Source: RNAcentral